GCAUUGGUGGUUCGGUGGUAGAAUUCCCACCUUCUAAAAAAAAAUUUUUUUUUUUUUUUAUGCUGGAGACCCGAGUUCAACUCUCGGCCAGUGCA
Molecule: transfer RNA, 95 nt
Filed under: Loxodonta africana (African savanna elephant)
Lineage: Eukaryota; Metazoa; Chordata; Mammalia; Proboscidea; Elephantidae
Rfam family: tRNA
About the family: Transfer RNA (tRNA) molecules are approximately 80 nucleotides in length. Their secondary structure includes four short double-helical elements and three loops (D, anti-codon, and T loops).
Source: Rfam by way of RNAcentral